CCUACGGGAGGCAGCAGUGAGGAAUAUUGGUCAAUGGCCGUAAGCCUGAACCAGCCAAGUCGCGUGAGGGAAGACGGCCCUAUGGUUUGUAAACCUCUUUUGUCGGGGAACAAAGGUCUCCACGUGUGGCUUUUUGCAUGUACCCUAAGAAUAAGCAUCGGCUAACUCCGUGCCAGCAGCCGCGGUAAUACGGAGGAUUCGAGCGUUAUCCGGCUUUAUUUGGGUUAAAGGGGUCGUAGGUGGUCUUUUAAGUCCGCGGGGAAAUUUUGGGGCUCAACCCUACAAGUGCCGUUGAAACUGGCAGACUUGAGUGGGCGUGAAGUAGGCGGAAUGCGUGGUGUAGCGGUGAAAUGCAUAGAUAUCACGCAGAACUCCGAUUGCGAAGGCAGCUUAC
Molecule: ribosomal RNA, 394 nt
Filed under: uncultured bacterium
Lineage: Bacteria
Description: partial 16S ribosomal RNA
Rfam family: Bacterial small subunit ribosomal RNA
Source: RNAcentral